RNAcentral lists this long non-coding RNA (2954 nucleotides) under Mus musculus (house mouse). RNAcentral describes it as "POU domain, class 3, transcription factor 3 adjacent noncoding transcript 1". Lineage: Eukaryota; Metazoa; Chordata; Mammalia; Rodentia; Muridae. The record is from RNAcentral.
GAGUUUGGAGGGUGCCGGUCAACGAAGCCACGCGAGGUAUUUGAAAGGCAAUCAGCCCGACCGUCCCCCUAGAUUCAUCGUUUUGCGAGGUGGCUGUGACCGCUGUCGACAAGUGCUUUCUCAGCCGCAACCCAGCUGAAAGAGUUAAGGGGCCCGGGAGGAGGAGUGCGCCCGGUAGGCGGGAGAAGAGGGGGUGGUGUGGUGUGUGUGUGUUGGGGGGGGGGGGGACGACGCGGCCAAGCGGAAACGCCGCACAGAGGAACCUCAGCGAACCAAGAAAAAAGAGAAAGUGGCAACGAAAACAAGGACAAAUUAAAUCCUCCUUGGGGAUUUCCAAUGAACUAACCCAAUUCGGACAUUCAAUAAAUACACGACUCUUAAUGAGUGUGCGUGUGCUUGCACCCCGCACCCUCAGCUGCAGGGCACCGGACCGCAAUCUGCAGUUUCUAGUCCAAGCAGCAGCCGAGAACGUAACCCGGCGGUCGGUGUGCUCCGAAUAUAAAGAACUGGCCUGCCUUCUCCCCGAUGCAUAAUUUCUCUAGAGGGCUCACUUCUGUGAACUCAGUUACAGAGGGAGCUCUCCAGCUCAGCAGCAGCCUCGCAGCCUCUGCGUGAUCUCGAGAUUAACCGUAGACGCGGGGCAUUUAUGUAGGAUCGGGUCCAGCUCCUGCUUGCCGGGGUGAAAAGAUACCAUCGUAGAAACAGAUCUAAAAGGCAGCAGUAACCAAAGCCCCAAAACAGAACGGAUUCCCCCCUCCAUUCCAAAAGGUUCCUUUUUAUAUUUAUAUAUGCGUAUAUGUAUAUAUAAAAGAUGGAACACAGAUUUCAUUGAAUAAAUCUGAGAUCUCCAGGUGCAGACGUUUGAAUAGUCGGUGCCAGCACCCCGUGUUUUCCUUUCCUGCCGAUUUUGCUUGGAUCCGGCUCAAAAACCGAAAGAGUCUCGUGGUUUUGUUUACACUGAAUGGGGAGGAUAGGAACAGAGCCAUGGGGCCGCCUUUCAUUAAUAUACAGUGAGGAUUUUGUCUAAAUUACUGCUAUGAGUUUCACAGUACACGCUUUCAAAAGCCGUCUCAGGUGGCCUGAUGAAACGGGAUAGCGCCUCAGCAAACAGAUCCACUUUCUUUCUUUGCAAGGAGGGUGUGCACGUUCGGGAAGCCCCCCAAACGCUGUGCUCCUCAAUAACAGAAACGCACUUCUGUUCCCAGGUCUGUCCCCUUCUCUCCCCCCACCCCCCACGUACUUAGUUCUCAAAUCGCUCCCCAGCUUCCCCCCUCCCACCCCACCCAAUCCUCCCCCUCCCUCUGCGGAGUGUGAUUGUUUUGUCUGGAAAAAAAAAUCCAAAGUAUAUAACAAGGGGAGAACAGUUAGUGCUGAUUUUCAUUUGCAUACAUUUUCAUAUAUUUUGGUGAAAAUAAUAGACGAGAGAGAACCGGGCUUAGAGGAGUCAGUGUAAAGAGAAGGCUAAGGAUAACUCGGCUCUGGAGAGUAGAGAAUAUGCCUUCUCUUCUGCCCCUCCAGGAACCUUACUUUUUUUUUUUUAAACAAAAAACAAAAACAAAAAACAAAAACCAAAAACCAAAAACCAACCACCACCUUUUAUUUAAAAGUCUAACCUUGGGAAUUUGCUGGGGAGAAGGAACUCAGUGAAUAUUGCCCUGGGUCCUGGUAAUUCCACCUACUGAAGACAACUGCCCCUUCUGCUCAUAUUUCCUGAGUCAACAUGGCCGUUCCUAACUUUGAAGAGACUUUAGACAUUCUUUGUUACAAUGAACCUAGAAGAAAGAAGAGAAAUGAAACCUGAAAGAACAGAGGUCCACUGUCAGCAUUUGCACAGGAGGAAGUAUUUCGAAGCCCCCAUCACCUCGUCUGGCCUUAUAGACCUGCUGAUGAGGAAGGCCUUCUGCUCCCCUCCCCCAACCCUCUCCUCUUUCCAUCUCUUGCCUAAAGGCUGCUCCGUUUGGGGGACUGUGCCCAAGGUGCUGCAUGGUCGACCGACCGACCCCAGAGAAAGGCAGGCAUCAUCAUCUCAGCUGCUCCCUCUGCUCUAAGGACCGGGGACUAGGAACAUUCUGGCAAGAGAAGGGAGGGGGGGCCAAGCUUGGAGUCACACAUGGCUGCAUUUCGUAUGGCAAGGCUUUCUUGUUUGUGCUUUCUUCCUAUGGAAAAAAAAAAGGCUCUGGAAGGGGCCUGGGGAGCCAGAUCAAAUGUUCAAAUGUACUGGCAGGGAGCCAAGGCUCAACUUCUCUGCCAGGAACUCCACGUUCUCAAGUCUUCACUGCUGUUGAAACUGAUCGGGAAGGUUAAUGAGAUUAAUAUGGCCAAACACUGUGGGCUUCUGGGAAGCAAACAGCCAGGGAAAUUUGACCAACAUCUAGGAUGGUCUGUAGGAAUGGGAUAGUGUGACAAUUCUACAUAUCUUACAAAGAUCAAAUCAACACAAUUCAUAUUUCUGUCGGCUUGAGCAAUGACUAUUCUAUGUUUUGGAGACUCUGAUCCUUUCUCUUCUAGCUCCUGGUACAGCCUAUAAUAAGCUGUAGUGAACUUCAGUCACCCUUCUGUGCUGAAGGGCAUGGGCACCCAGUCUUCCCAGCUAGCCGAGUUUCAAGACUUGGGAAAGGAGUUGCUUGCUCCAAGUGCUAAGUGCCUGUGAACAUUGACUAACUUCCCAUGCCCAAGAACUUCUCAUCCGUUUGGCCCCAACUAAAGACACAACGUAUGUAGCUACCAAAUGACAACUUUCCAGGUCAUCUGCCACCAGAGCCUGCCUCCCUCAGACCCAUACAUGGCACUCACACCUGGUGCAAGUGAGCUUGCUUGUCCUCUCAUCAUCUUGGCACCAUGUCUUCCCCUCUGGUCAUCUUAGUAAAGCCCCAAAGAACGGGCAAUAAUGUGAGAGCUGAAGGCUCGUCAGUGCCACUAUCUGUCUUAUUAUGAAUAAAAAAAUUUAAACCCAA